This 311-nucleotide small nuclear RNA is filed under the name Urocitellus parryii (Arctic ground squirrel). RNAcentral's name for it is "7SK RNA (ENSUPAG00010004907.1)". It matches the Rfam family "7SK RNA". From Rfam's summary of the family: 7SK was discovered as an abundant small nuclear RNA in the mid-70s but a possible function has only recently been suggested. Two independent studies have found that 7SK RNA binds the CDK9/cyclin T complex (known as elongation factor P-TEFb). P-TEFb activates transcription by phosphorylating the C-terminal domain of RNA polymerase II. Lineage: Eukaryota; Metazoa; Chordata; Mammalia; Rodentia; Sciuridae. The record is from RNAcentral.
AGACGUGAGGAUGAUCUGACUGCAACACCUGUCACCCCGUUGGUCACCAGGCUUGAUUUGGCUGAUCUGCCUGGCUAGGAGGGUGUCCCCUUCCUCUGUCUCUGCUCCAUAUGUGACCCUCUGAAGCUAUGUCGAAUAGGAUGCCCUUCCCCGAUAGAGGAGGACUGUUCUCAGUCAAGGGUACACCAGUAGCUGGGCUUCCCUGCUAGAAUUUCCCACCAAGCUCUCAGCUMGUAACAGCUCUGUGUUUUCAAUUGCUCUGGAUGAUGGGUGAGCUGUGAGUUAUAAGUGAAUCCUUUGAGGAACAUCUU